AUGGGAACCGGAGAGGGAACGGGAGCGGGGAGUGAGAGCGGGGAUGGGAACGGGAAUAGGAACGGGGAGCGGGAGGGGGAACGGGAGCGGGAAUGGGGAAAGGGGAGCGGGAGAGGGAACCGGACUGGGAGCGGGAACGGGAGCGGGAAUGGGGAGCGGGAGCAGGAAAGGAACAGGAGUGGGAGCGAGAAUGGGAAUGGAACCGGAGAGGGAACGGGAGAGGGAAUGGGAACCGGAGCGGGCACUGCGGGACCGGAGGCGGCGGGGAGGGAACGGGGGCGGGACGGCGGCACCACGAACCUGGAGCUGCCCAGUGCGAACGGGAACGGGAGCGAGGGAGGCGCGGCUGGGAAUGGGAAUGGGAAUGGGAGCGGGAACGAGGGGGCGGCACCGGGAGCGGGGCAGGGCUGGAGCCGGCAGCGGCGGCACCGGGAAUAUGGGGAGGGCCGGUGCCGGUACCGGAGCGGGCGCGGCGGGGCCGCCUCUCGCUCAGCCGCUGCUUUCCCGUUCCUUCGCAGAGUCCUUCGGCCAGAACUACCCCGAGGAGGCGGACGGGACCCUGGACUGUAUCAGCAUGGCUCUGACGUGCACCUUCAACCGCUGGGGCACGCUGCUGGCCGUGGGCUGCAACGACGGGCGCAUCGUCAUCUGGGACUUCCUGACGCGCGGCAUCGCCAAGAUCAUCAGCGCCCACAUCCACCCCGUGUGCUCCCUCUGGUGAGCUGGGAUCCCAAAAUUCCCUAAAAUCCCAAAAACCCACAUCCCAGCAAUCCCACAUCCACCCCGUGUGCUCCCUCUGGUGAGCUGGGAUCCCAAAUUCCCAGCAAUCCCAAAAACCCACAUCCCAGCAAUCCCACAUUCAUCCUGUCUGCUCCCUCUGGUGAGCUGGGAUCCCUGAAUUCCCUAAAAUCCCACAUCCAUCCCAUCUGCUCCCUCUGGUGAGCUGGAAAUCCCAAAAUUCCCUAAAAUCCCACAUCCACCCCGUGUGCUCCCUCUGGUGAGCAGGAAUCCCUGAAUUCCCUAAAAUCCCAAAAACUCACAUCCCAGCAAUGCCACAUCCACCCCGUGUGCUCCCUCUGGUGAACUGUGGGAAUCUGCUGGAAUCCCCAUGGAAUUCUCCUGGAAUCCCCAUGGAGUCCCCAGCUCCUUUUCUCCCUGGCUGCAUUUGAGCUUUUUAAGGAAUAACUUUAUUGGGAAUUCCCUGAGUUCCUUUUCCCCCUGGCUGUGUUUGAUUCCUGUAAGGAAUAACUGAGCUCCUUUCCCUCCUG
This 1268-nucleotide long non-coding RNA is filed under the name Junco hyemalis (dark-eyed junco). RNAcentral's name for it is "lncRNA (ENSJHYG00000000636.1)". Lineage: Eukaryota; Metazoa; Chordata; Aves; Passeriformes; Passerellidae. The record is from RNAcentral.